This 497-nucleotide ribosomal RNA is filed under the name uncultured bacterium. RNAcentral describes it as "partial 16S ribosomal RNA". It matches the Rfam family "Bacterial small subunit ribosomal RNA", at positions 28 to 507 of the family's 1533-position model. The record is from RNAcentral.
GACGAACGCUGGCGGCGCGCCUAAUACAUGCAAGUAGAACGCUGAAGAGAGGAGCUUGCUCUUCUUGGAUGAGUUGCGAACGGGUGAGUAACGCGUAGGUAACCUGCCUUGUAGCGGGGGAUAACUAUUGGAAACGAUAGCUAAUACCGCAUAACAAUGGAUGACACAUGUCAUUUAUUUGAAAGGGGCAAUUGCUCCACUACAAGAUGGACCUGCGUUGUAUUAGCUAGUAGGUGAGGUAACGGCUCACCUAGGCGACGAUACAUAGCCGACCUGAGAGGGUGAUCGGCCACACUGGGACUGAGACACGGCCCAGACUCCUACGGGAGGCAGCAGUAGGGAAUCUUCGGCAAUGGGGGCAACCCUGACCGAGCAACGCCGCGUGAGUGAAGAAGGUUUUCGGAUCGUAAAGCUCUGUUGUAAGUCAAGAACGAGUGUGAGAGUGGAAAGUUCACACUGUGACGGUAGCUUACCAGAAAGGGACGGCUAACUACGUG